Molecule: long non-coding RNA, 482 nt
Organism: Cyprinodon tularosa
Lineage: Eukaryota; Metazoa; Chordata; Actinopteri; Cyprinodontiformes; Cyprinodontidae
Exons: 3
Source: RefSeq, a predicted model, not a curated record
AGGUCAAAGUGUGUUUUUGAGCGUGAGGACAUUUGAGGGAAGGCUGAGGAAACGUUUGGAGGCUGAAAUCUGGCUGCUGUGAAGCAGUGAUCAGGUUACCUCAUCGCUCCAGCUGACAGCGAGUUCUGAAGGCUUUACAUCCCCUCAAGCUAAAGUGUUGACUUCCGAGGUCUUCCUCCGCUCCGUCAGCAGCGAUAAGGAGUUUGUCAGCGAACACAAUCUGAGUGAUAAAGGCUUUUUCUUCAAGGUUUCUCCCUGAUCUUCGGCUGCUUAAAGCUCAGCCUGCUGUCGACCUCAGCAGGUAUAAACAUGCUGAUUGUGACCUUCUGUCUGACACAGAAAACUGACACAGCUGCAGCUUCUACCUGAACACUAACAAACGUCGUCCUGAUUAAAACCUGCUUAAGGAGCAAUCAAACCCAAGACUGGGAAAUAAUCUUAGUAUCUGUCCAGAAAAAAAACUGUCUGAAGUCUAAGAUCAA